GAUGAACGCUGGCGGCGUGCCUAACACAUGCAAGUCGAGCGAUUCUCUUCGGAGAAGAGCGGCGGACGGGUGAGUAACGCGUGGGUAACCUGCCCUGUACACACGGAUAACAUACCGAAAGGUAUGCUAAUACGAGAUAAUAUGCUUUUAUCGCAUGGUAGAAGUAUCAAAGCUUUUGCGGUACAGGAUGGACCCGCGUCUGAUUAGCUAGUUGGUAAGGUAACGGCUUACCAAGGCGACGAUCAGUAGCCGACCUGAGAGGGUGAUCGGCCACAUUGGAACUGAGACCCGGUCCAAACUCCUACGGGAGGCAGCAGUGGGGAAUAUUGCACAAUGGGCGAAAGCCUGAUGCAGCAACGCCGCGUGAGCGAUGAAGGCCUUCGGGUCGUAAAGCUCUGUCCUCAAGGAAGGAAUAAUGACGGUACUUGAGGAGGAAGCCCGGCUAACUACGUG
RNAcentral lists this ribosomal RNA (453 nucleotides) under uncultured bacterium. RNAcentral describes it as "bacterial SSU rRNA". It matches the Rfam family "Bacterial small subunit ribosomal RNA", at positions 28 to 507 of the family's 1533-position model. The record is from RNAcentral.